RNAcentral lists this unclassified non-coding RNA (701 nucleotides) under Hevea brasiliensis (rubber tree). Lineage: Eukaryota; Viridiplantae; Streptophyta; Magnoliopsida; Malpighiales; Euphorbiaceae. The record is from RNAcentral.
UAGAAUCCCCCAGUCUUCUUACUGCUCUAGUUUCUGGCAUGAGUGGCACAUCAUGAACAGUCAUAAUAUUUGUUAUUUACUGCUGCCAUUCUUGAAGACUCAUUUAUGGCAAAGAACUUCAUGCUUUUGUAAAAUGAAUGACCUGAAUGACUUAUUCCGAUCUUCUUCCUUAUAAGCUCAUCUGUUUUACCUCGAUUUCCAGCAUCAAUCCCUUUACCCGAGUUCCCAUCCACCCUAGAGAAGAGCAUAGCUCGAGUGUCAUAUAAUUUUUAAGGUUUUCUUCACCAUGAGAAUGUAUAUGUGACAAAUCAUCUCCAUCAUAAUAGAAUGCAGAAGGACCUGAACUAUAAACAUCCCAAGCAUCAACUUCCCCUAUAAUACUCAUAUCCUCUUUAGAACAAGCAUAAAAUCGAGAUUUCUUUUUGCAGCAUGUGGGAACAAUCCGUGAAGUACUUUUGAUCUGACAGAGGAAUCUGGACUCAGGAUCUUGCUUUUCAGAAGUACUUCCCCACAGAAUAAUCCGUGAAGAUCGAAUCUAACUCCUGACAGUGCACUCUCCGGUCAAUUUCUUUGGCUGCAGGAACGAAGUUCAAGUGUCACUUUGCAACUCUGGGUCCUGCACCUCUUUUUCCUGAUCUCAUAAUUCACAGGUAUAUCUGAAAAGUGGAGCAGGGAAUGGGAUAGCAACAGAUGAGGAGGAU